Molecule: ribosomal RNA, 512 nt
Filed under: uncultured bacterium
Lineage: Bacteria
Description: partial 16S ribosomal RNA
Rfam family: Bacterial small subunit ribosomal RNA
Source: RNAcentral
GAUGAACGCUGGCGGCGUGCCUAAUACAUGCAAGUCGAACGAAACUUCUUUAUCACCGAGUGCUUGCACUCACCGAUAAAGAGUUGAGUGGCGAACGGGUGAGUAACACGUGGGCAACCUGCCCAAAAGAGGGGGAUAACACUUGGAAACAGGUGCUAAUACCGCAUAACCAUAGUUACCGCAUGGUAACUAUGUAAAAGGUGGCUAUACUACCGCUUUUGGAUGGGCCCGCGGCGCAUUAGCUAGUUGGUAGGGUAAAGGCUUACCAAGGCAAUGAUGCGUAGCCGAAUUGAGAGGUUGAUCGGCCACAUUGGGACUGAGACACGGCCCAAACUCCUACGGGAGGCAGCAGUAGGGAAUCUUCGACAAUGGGCGAAAGCCUGAUGGAGCAACGCCGCGUGGGUGAAGAAGGUCUUCGGAUCGUAAAACCCUGUUGUUAGAGAAGAAAGUGCGUGAGAGUAACUGUUCACGUUUCGACGGUAUCUAACCAGAAAGCCACGGCUAACUACGUG